This 429-nucleotide ribosomal RNA is filed under the name Bacteroidota bacterium. Its description in RNAcentral is "Bacteroidetes bacterium partial 16S ribosomal RNA". It matches the Rfam family "Bacterial small subunit ribosomal RNA", at positions 355 to 776 of the family's 1533-position model. Lineage: Bacteria; Pseudomonadati; Bacteroidota. The record is from RNAcentral.
UAGGGAAUCUUCGGCAAUGGGGGGAACCCUGACCGAGCAACGCCGCGUGAGUGAAGAAGGUUUUCGGAUCGUAAAGCUCUGUUGUUAAGGAAGAACGAGUGUGAGAAUGGAAAGUUCAUGCUGUGACGGUACUUAACCAGAAAGGGACGGCUAACUACGUGCCAGCAGCCGCGGUAAUACGUAGGUCCCGAGCGUUGUCCGGAUUUAUUGGGCGUAAAGCGAGCGCAGGCGGUUAGAUAAGUCUGAAGUUAAAGGCAGUGGCUCAACCAUUGUAGGCUUUGGAAACUGUUUUACUUGAGUGCAGAAGGGGAGGGUGGAAUUCCAUGUGUAGCGGUGAAAUGCGUGGAUAUAUGGAGGAACACCGGUGGCGAAAGCGGCUCUCUGGUCUGUAACUGACGCUGAGGCUCGAAAGCGUGGGGGGCGAACAGG